This 250-nucleotide ribosomal RNA is filed under the name uncultured prokaryote. RNAcentral's name for it is "partial 16S ribosomal RNA". It matches the Rfam family "Bacterial small subunit ribosomal RNA", at positions 524 to 773 of the family's 1533-position model. The record is from RNAcentral.
UACGUAGGGGGCGAGCGUUGUCCGGAAUGAUUGGGCGUAAAGGGCGCGUGGGCGGCCCGUUAAGUCUGAAGCGAAAGUCCUGCUUUUAAGGUGGGAAUUGCUUUGGAUACUGAUGGGCUUGAGUGCAGGAGAGGUAAGUGGAAUUCCCAGUGUAGCGGUGAAAUACGUAGAGAUUGGGAGGAACACCAGUGGCGAAGGCGACUUACUGGACUGUAACUGACGCUGAGGCGCGAAAGUGAGGGGAGCAAAC